RNAcentral lists this ribosomal RNA (253 nucleotides) under uncultured bacterium. RNAcentral describes it as "partial 16S ribosomal RNA". It matches the Rfam family "Bacterial small subunit ribosomal RNA", at positions 524 to 776 of the family's 1533-position model. The record is from RNAcentral.
UACGUAGGUGGCAAGCGUUGUCCGGAUUUACUGGGCGUAAAGCGUAUGCAGGCGGACCGUUAAGUAGGAAGUGAAAGGUUGGAGCUCAACUCUAACACUGCUCCCUAUACUGGCGGUCUUGAGUGGCGGAGAGGAAGAUGGAACGACACGUGUAGCGGUGAAAUGCGUUGAUAUGUGUCGGAACACCAACGGCGAAAGCAAUCUUCUGGACGCAAACUGACGCUGAGAUACGAAAGCCAAGGUAGCAAACAGG